Molecule: ribosomal RNA, 624 nt
Filed under: Salmonella enterica
Lineage: Bacteria; Pseudomonadati; Pseudomonadota; Gammaproteobacteria; Enterobacterales; Enterobacteriaceae
Description: partial 23S ribosomal RNA
Rfam family: Bacterial large subunit ribosomal RNA
Source: RNAcentral
AGACCCGAAACCCGGUGAUCUAGCCAUGGGCAGGUUGAAGGUUGGGUAACACUAACUGGAGGACCGAACCGACUAAUGUUGAAAAAUUAGCGGAUGACCUGUGGCUGGGGGUGAAAGGCCAAUCAAACCGGGAGAUAGCUGGUUCUCCCCGAAAGCUAUUUAGGUAGCGCCUCGUGAAUUCAUCUCCGGGGGUAGAGCACUGUUUCGGCUAGGGGGCCAUCCCGGCUUACCAACCCGAUGCAAACUGCGAAUACCGGAGAAUGUUAUCACGGGAGACACACGGCGGGUGCUAACGUCCGUCGUGAAGAGGGAAACAACCCAGACCGCCAGCUAAGGUCCCAAAGUCAUGGUUAAGUGGGAAACGAUGUGGGAAGGCCCAGACAGCCAGGAUGUUGGCUUAGAAGCAGCCAUCAUUUAAAGAAAGCGUAAUAGCUCACUGGUCGAGUCGGCCUGCGCGGAAGAUGUAACGGGGCUAAACCAUGCACCGAAGCUGCGGCAGCGACACUCAGGUGUCGUUGGGUAGGGGAGCGUUCUGUAAGCCUGCGAAGGUGGCCUGUGAGGGUUGCUGGAGGUAUCAGAAGUGCGAAUGCUGACAUAAGUAACGAUAAAGCGGGUGAAAAGCCC